UGGGGAAUUUUGGACAAUGGGCGAAAGCCUGAUCCAGCAAUGCCGCGUGUGUGAAGAAGGCCUUCGGGUUGUAAAGCACUUUUGUCCGGAAAGAAAUCCUUGGCUCUAAUACAGUCGGGGGAUGACGGUACCGGAAGAAUAAGCACCGGCUAACUACGUGCCAGCAGCCGCGGUAAUACGUAGGGUGCAAGCGUUAAUCGGAAUUACUGGGCGUAAAGCGUGCGCAGGCGGUUUGCUAAGACCGAUGUGAAAUCCCCGGGCUCAACCUGGGAACUGCAUUGGUGACUGGCAGGCUAGAGUAUGGCAGAGGGGGGUAGAAUUCCACGUGUAGCAGUGAAAUGCGUAGAGAUGUGGAGGAAUACCGAUGGCGAAGGCAGCCCCCUGGGCCAAUACUGACGCUCAUGCACGAAAGCGUGGGGAGCAAACAGGAUUAGAUACCCUGGUAGUCCACGCCCUAAAACGAUGUCAACUAGUUGUUGGGGAUUCAUUUCCUUAGUAACGUAGCUAACGCGUGAAGUUGACCGCCUGGGGAGUACGGUCGUAAGAUUAAAACUUAAAGGAAUUGACGGGGUCAUAGCUGUUUCCU
This 586-nucleotide ribosomal RNA is filed under the name uncultured bacterium. RNAcentral describes it as "partial 16S ribosomal RNA". It matches the Rfam family "Bacterial small subunit ribosomal RNA", at positions 355 to 1375 of the family's 1533-position model. The record is from RNAcentral.